This is a long non-coding RNA of Pipistrellus kuhlii (Kuhl's pipistrelle), 201 nucleotides long. RefSeq lists it as uncharacterized. The record is from RefSeq and is a predicted model, not a curated record. The transcript is spliced from 3 exons. NCBI's taxonomy places the organism in Eukaryota, Metazoa, Chordata, Mammalia, Chiroptera, Vespertilionidae.
GGCUUGCGUCAAGGACAUUGGGGGGAAGGGGCCCUUAUUUCCCGUUUUGAACCUCGUGAAGGGUGGGUCCUGCGCCUGCGCUGGUGACUCCUGCAAGUGCGAGGGAUGCAAAUGCACCUCCUGCAAGAAAAGCUGCUGCUCCUGCUGCCCCCCUGAGUGCGAGAAAUGCGCCAAGGACUGCGAGUGCAAAGAGGCAGCGGG